RNAcentral lists this ribosomal RNA (788 nucleotides) under uncultured bacterium. RNAcentral's name for it is "bacterial SSU rRNA". It matches the Rfam family "Bacterial small subunit ribosomal RNA", at positions 545 to 1336 of the family's 1533-position model. The record is from RNAcentral.
CCGGAAUUAUUGGGCGUAAAGAGCUCGUAGGUGGUUCGUUACGUCGGAUGUGAAAAUCUGGGGCUCAACCCCAGACCUGCAUUCGAUACGGGCGAGCUAGAGUUUGGUAGGGGAGACUGGAAUUCCUGGUGUAGCGGUGGAAUGCGCAGAUAUCAGGAGGAACACCAAUGGCGAAGGCAGGUCUCUGGGCCAAUACUGACACUGAGGAACGAAAGCGUGGGGAGCGAACAGGAUUAGAUACCCCGGUAGUCCACGCCGUAAACGGUGGGCACUAGUUGUGGGAACCUUCCACGGUUUCUGCGACGCAGCUAACGCAUUAAGUGCCCCGCCUGGGGAGUACGAUCGCAAGAUUAAAACUCAAAGGAAUUGACGGGGCCCCGCACAAGCAGCGGAGCAUGCGGCUUAAUUCGACGCAACGCGAAGAACCUUACCAAGGCUUGACAUAUACAGGAAUAUGGCAGAAAUUCCAUAGCCGCAAGGUCUGUAUACAGGUGGUGCAUGGUUGUCGUCAGCUCGUGUCGUGAGAUGUUGGGUUAAGUCCCGCAACGAGCGCAACCCUCGUUCUGUGUUGCCAGCAUUUAGUUGGGGACUCACAGGAGACUGCCGGGGUUAACUCGGAGGAAGGUGGGGAUGACGUCAAAUCAUCAUGCCCCUUAUGUCUUGGGCUGCACGCAUGCUACAAUGGCUGGUACAAACGGCUGCGAUACCGCAAGGUGGAGCGAAUCCGAUGAAGCCAGUCUCAGUUCGGAUUGGGGUCUGCAACUCGACCCCAUGAAGUCGGAGUUGCU